AAAAACAUGAGUUUUUUCUCACGACCAAAAAAAAACAUGACUCCUCUCUCUCUCUCGAUUGCGAUCAAAGAAGCUGAUGAACAAACGCCGAUUUCGUGAGAUUCCGAUGAGUCUAUGCUGGAAUCGUGGUAUGUGAGACUUACCUACCGCCGGAAUCAUCAGCGAGAUAGACGGUUAAGACUAUCGGCGAAUGGAGUCAAAACGAAUCGAAGAUUGGCGAUGGAGAAGAAGGAUUCGUUGAAGGAUGGUCCAAUUUCUUGUUCCAGCAAGAUCAGUUUCAUACUCUUCCUCGCCGACAAUGAUCCCACCACCGGUCAAAGCUGGUGUCCAGGUCUCUAUCACUCUCUUAGGGGUUUCUCAAUUUUCGUCCAAUUUCGAUCGAUUUCAUCUUCUCGAUCGAAUCAAUGGUUUUGAUUGGUGAAUCAGACUGUGUUAGAGUUGAACAUGUGAUUUACAAGACUUUAGAGGAAUUUCCAGAGGAGGAGAAUCUUAUUCCUGCUUACGCCGGUGACAUACCGGCGUAGAGAACUCCGACGCAUUCGUGGAGAGUUGACUCUGUUAAGGGACGGCUUGAGGAUCAUCAAGCUCACCUGAUUCUGCCCCUUCUUGCGCCAUCCACUUGAUUCGUUCGAUUUCUCGAGACUAUGGUGAGAUUGAGGAUUUCUUUGUGUUGUUUUCCAAUAAGUCAUCAUUCAUCUGCUGGGAAUUGCUUUCAUCUCUGCUUAACAACUCUCUUAAUCUAGAAACUCUCAUCAUCAAGUUAUUAUACAAAAGCAGUUAUAUGUUGGAGGUCGGGGACGUUUCCAACUUUCCAUUGUGUGAUGGGAGUCAUGUGAAGCACAACAAAGCUAAUAAUGGAGAUAACGUUGGUCCUCUUCUUCUCAAUAACUAAAUCAUUUGUGUCUCACAUACAAUAUUGGCGCCAAGGCUCGCUCUUGACUUGUAUCAGUAUCAGGACAGUGAUGCUUGGCCAUAACCAUGAUCUCACAUUGGCUGCUCAAGAAACACUAGCAAAGUUGGUUAGAGUGAGAAGCAAGAUUUGAAACUACACUCAAACAUUUCUCCUGGUUAUUAUUUCCACAUUACUACUCUAAACUCAGUUUUGUUGAAGACAUCAAAUCAUGUAAUGGGUACUUUAAACCUUUUUAGAACAAUCUUAUUCCUAUGUACAUUACCAUCUUCCUUAAUGAUCAUAGUCUUAUUUUAA
Long non-coding RNA from Arabidopsis lyrata subsp. lyrata, 1207 nucleotides. RefSeq lists it as uncharacterized. The record is from RefSeq and is a predicted model, not a curated record. NCBI's taxonomy places the organism in Eukaryota, Viridiplantae, Streptophyta, Magnoliopsida, Brassicales, Brassicaceae. The transcript is spliced from 3 exons.